Molecule: long non-coding RNA, 1124 nt
Organism: Folsomia candida
Lineage: Eukaryota; Metazoa; Arthropoda; Collembola; Entomobryomorpha; Isotomidae
Exons: 5
Source: RefSeq, a predicted model, not a curated record
CUGCUUGACGGGUUGGGUCAACCAUCUGGAAGGGAUAGAAAAUCCGAGGUGUGGAAGCCAUGUCUGUCAUUACAGUUGCACUAGCUCCAAUCUGGUCAAGUCGUUGCAACUUUGUGAACAAAAAUUGAAAGUUUUACUCGAAAAGAAGCAAGAAGCUGUCACCGAAUAUGCGAAAACUUGCGACAAAGCGGAUUUGAACAUGAAGCGGUUAAUGGCAGGGGAAAUGGACUUGUUAUCCUUUAUCCAAGCCGAACACGGCGAUGAGAAUGGAGAUAGGGCAGAAAUGUUGGAGGAUUUACAAGACGAUGCAAAACUUUGUAAUGACCUGAAACCUGACAUGAUGGGUGCCAUGGAGUUGGUAAAUUCCACGACCAGGGAGAUGGACAACGUCGUCCAGAUGGGUGAAGUAUGGGGCAAGCAUGCGUUAAAUGUAAAUAUCAAACUUGGACUUCCUGCCUUCAAACAGGUCACGGCCGGGCUGCCGGUUGAUUUAGAGAUUUUAGAAAAAUUGGUCAAAUUCCAUGUCAAGAUUUAAGGAUUGAGAAAUCUUGUGCUGCUGGAAAAAAUUCCCGAAAAGAAGAAGAUAUUUGAAAACGAACUUUCCCAAGAAGAAACCCUGCUAAAAGAUUUCCUCUCCUUGUCAACCACUUCCGAGCAAAUUCUGAACAUUGUACCAGGAACGGAUGCAUUUUUGAGAAAGGCGACCAAAAAUAUGAAAGCGGCUAAUGGAAUUCGUGACAGCGAUAUUCUCGCUAAAAUGGACAAAUAUCGCAAACUUACCGACGAGCAUAAAGCCCUGAGUGACAAAUAUUCCAUGCAUAUCAGCAAAGUCAAGGAAAUACUGCAAAAAAUUGGAGAAAACGAGGAAACCAUGGAAAAUGAAAGGGUUGAGCUUUGAACAAAUAAAUGAUAAUGACAUCAAUACGAUUAAAUAUUUAGGCGUAAUCAAAUUUAUAGUCUUAUAAUUAAAUUAUUGGAGUAGCGUGUUACAAAGUAAUAUUUUUAAACAUUUAAAAAUUAUUAAUCCUUUGUACAUAUUUGGUAGUUUUUACAAAAUUCAGGAUUUUCCCUUCGAGUUGGGCUUAGGGUUACGCCUGGCGAAAAAAAGACGCAUAAAUAAAUCU